ACGAACGCUGGCGGCAGGCCUAACACAUGCAAGUCGAGCUAGAUCUUCGGGUCUAGCGGCGGACGGGUGAGUAACGCGUGGGAAUAUGCCCUUCUCUGCGGAAUAGCCUCGGGAAACUGAGCGUAAUACCGCAUACGCCCUUUGGGGGAAAGAUUUAUCGGAGAAGGAUUAGCCCGCGUUGGAUUAGGUAGUUGGUGGGGUAACGGCCUACCAAGCCGACGAUCCAUAGCUGGUUUGAGAGGAUGAUCAGCCACACUGGGACUGAGACACGGCCCAGACUCCUACGGGAGGCAGCAGUGGGGAAUCUUAGACAAUGGGGGCAACCCUGAUCUAGCCAUGCCGCGUGAGUGAUGAAGGCCUUAGGGUUGUAAAGCUCUUUCAGCUGGGAAGAUAAUGACGGUACCAGCAGAAGAAGCCCCGGCUAACUCCGUG
RNAcentral lists this ribosomal RNA (432 nucleotides) under uncultured bacterium. Its description in RNAcentral is "partial 16S ribosomal RNA". It matches the Rfam family "Bacterial small subunit ribosomal RNA", at positions 29 to 507 of the family's 1533-position model. The record is from RNAcentral.